RNAcentral lists this ribosomal RNA (507 nucleotides) under uncultured Glomeromycotina. RNAcentral's name for it is "partial small subunit ribosomal RNA". It matches the Rfam family "Eukaryotic small subunit ribosomal RNA", at positions 591 to 1092 of the family's 1831-position model. The record is from RNAcentral. Lineage: Eukaryota; Fungi; Glomeromycota.
CCAAUAGCGUAUAUUAAAGUUGUUGCAGUUAAAAAGCUCGUAGUUGAAUUUCGGGAUUGGCGCAUCGGUCGUGCCUCACGGGGUAUGAACUGGUGCAGUCAAUUUCUCACCUUCUGGAGAACCGCGAUGUCCUUAAUUGGAUGCCGCGGGGAACCAGGACCUUUACUUUGAAAAAAUUAGAGUGUUUAAAGCAGGCAUUUUUGCUUGAAUACAUUAGCAUUGAAUAAUAAAAUAGGACGGCAUGGUUCUAUUUUUUUGGUUUCUAGUACCACCGUAAUGAUUAAUAGGGAUAGUUGGGGGCAUUAGUAUUCAAUUGUCAGAGGUGAAAUUCUUGGAUUUAUUGAAGACUAACUACUGCGAAAGCAUUUGCCAAGGAUGUUUUCAUUAAUCAAGAACGAAAGUUAGGGGAUCGAAGACGAUCAGAUACCGUCGUAGUCUUAACCAUAAACUAUGCCGACUAGGAAUCAGACGAUGUUAAUUUUUUAAUGACUCGUUUGGCACCUUACG